Molecule: unclassified non-coding RNA, 307 nt
Filed under: plant metagenome
Description: partial contains 5.8S ribosomal RNA, internal transcribed spacer 2, and large subunit ribosomal RNA
Rfam family: 5.8S ribosomal RNA (bases 1-105)
Source: RNAcentral
GAAAUGCGAUAAGUAGUGUGAAUUGCAGAAUUCAGUGAAUCAUCGAAUCUUUGAACGCACAUUGCGCCCCUCGGUAUUCCGUGGGGCAUGUCUGUUCGAGCGUCAUCUACACCCUCAAGCUCUGCUUGGUGUUGGGCGUCUGUCCCGCCUCCGCGCGCGGACUCGCCCCAAAUGCAUUGGCAGCGGUUCCUUGCCCCCCUCUUUGCGCAGCACAUUGCCAUUCGAGGCGGCGGCGGCCCGCGUCCAACAAGCUCAACCCCCCCGUCUUUGACCUCGGAUCAGGUAGGGAUACCCGCUGAACUUAAGC